Molecule: RNA transcript, 778 nt
Organism: Alligator sinensis (Chinese alligator)
Lineage: Eukaryota; Metazoa; Chordata; Crocodylia; Alligatoridae
Gene name: RNA polymerase III subunit G
Exons: 4
Source: RefSeq, a predicted model, not a curated record
GGGGCCGGGGGCGGUGGCUGCGGCCGGGCACGGCCCUGCCCACUGCAGCAGCCGGGGUGGCCGCGUGAGUGGUGGCUCCGCUGCCGCCUGCAUGCGAGAGGCUCGGGGCCGCGCUUUGCCCUGGCGCAGCGCUGGGCGGGGGCCUCGCCUCGCCUCGCCUCUGGGAACAACCCCCGGGCGCCCUCACGCAGGAGCUCGAGGCCGCCUCUCCGGGGGGAGGCAGCGUCCACUGGACUCCUUGGGGGGCUGCUCCGCUCCGGACCGCCUUUCCAGAUCCCUGGCUUUGAACCUCUGACCCCGCUCCCUUCCCUGCUUUCCUUUUACUUUGCCCCAAGGAAUUAGUGGCCGCUGUCUCAGUAGCCUCUUUUUCUCCGGGGGCGUUGGCCCACGACCCCUUCUCGCAGCAGCAAGUGGGCCGGUGGGUGGAGGGACGAAGCCGCUUCAAGUUGAGGCUUUCAGAUCAAGUGACCAAGUGCGCGGGGCUCAUUUGCCCGUGCGGUGCCCUGGGCAGGUGUCCCUGGUGUACUGGUGCUCGCGGUUGCCUUACAAACGUGGGAGGCGCAGAAAUCCAUGAACAGCAGCAGAGAUAAAAGAAGCACAUUCACAAGGGGACUGUGGCACCACAAAUAUUUUUCAUGCUGGCUUAACCCUCAAGGGCAUCAGUAACUUCAAAUGGCUGGGGCAGGUAGAGGAAGAGGGCGUGCUGCAUUUACCUUCAACAUAGAAGCUAUUGGUUUUUCUAAAGGCGAAGCACUACCUGAAGCAGCAUUCAAACCCC